Molecule: long non-coding RNA, 1016 nt
Filed under: Pan troglodytes (chimpanzee)
Lineage: Eukaryota; Metazoa; Chordata; Mammalia; Primates; Hominidae
Description: long non-coding RNA NONPTRT000218
Source: RNAcentral
AUUUCAUAUACUGUACUAAGUGCUUUACAUUCAUUUCCUCAUUUUAAUCCUCACAACAACCCUAUGAGGUAGGUAUUAUCACCAUUUACAAAUGAGAAACAGGCUCAGAAAAAUUAGGUCACUUGUCCAAGGUCACACAGCUAGUCAGUGGUGGAAGUGGGAUUUGUCUGCUGCUGAAAGCCCAUGUUCUUUUUAUUGUACCCAUCUAGGUGAGCCUUGAGCAAAAGGUAAUUUCACUGCCCAACUCUGCAAAGAGCACCAGGGAGUCGAGGUUGCCAGCCACACUCACCGCUGGUAGGGAUGCAUGGAAGCCGACUUGAUGUUGGUUUUUAUUCCACUUGGCAUUUUCCCUGAAAGGAACAUUAAAAAAGUCAUCUUAAGCAAGAUCUUCAUCUCGGUCUGGAGACAACACCAGAGGAAUGAUGACCUGGUUACGGAACAGCGGUGUUUUUUCAUGCUUCAAGACCUUGUUCAGAGUGUUCAGCUGUCCAGAAAGCAAGGCAAAGUUGUCCAGGACAGAUGGCCUGGUGGUGGUAACAAGGUACACCCUACACUCCCUCACUGAGACAUUUUCGACAGACCUAAUGCCGGGAGAUCAUUCUCUCAUGUGCACCUCUGUAGCACAUGCACUCCAGCUUCCUCCAUCGUAGCAUCUGUGAGCCUGGCUGUCUUGUCAGUCUCUGGGAAAUCUGCCUACUCAUGAAGACUUCUCUGAAUACCAGUCCUGCUCUCCCCUUUCCUUCCCCCCACCAACGACUCCAGCUUUCCAUCUGCUCUCAUCAUUUUGUUUCAACCUUCUCCUUGCUGAAUUAAUAUGCACUCAUCUAUCUCUGUGUCAAUAUUCCCGUGCCUCUUUCACAAGCUCAGUCAACCCAUUAACAUUUAUUGAGACUACCAGCUGCAAGAAACUAAGUGACAAAUGAAAAACAAAAACCACACAUGCUUCUAAGCACUGGACAAACAAAUUAAAAUGCUGGGGGUCUGCAAAGCAUUUCCUUCCCAUCGGUGGUCUCCUG